GACGAACGCUGGCGGCGUGCUUAACACAUGCAAGUCGAACGGAAAGGCCUUGCUUUUGUGGGGUGCUCGAGUGGCGAACGGGUGAGUAACACGCGCGUAACCUGCCUUUGAUUUUGGGGUAACUUCAGGAAACUGGGGCUAAUACCGGAUAGGAGCUCCUGCUGCAUGGUGGGGGUUGGACUGUUUCGGCGGUUGGGGAUGGACUCGGGGCUUAUCGGCUUGCUGGUGGGGUAGUGGCUUACCAAGGCUUUGACGGGUAGACGGCCUGGGAGGGUGGCCGGGGACAAUGGGCCUAAGAGACGGCCCAGACGCCUACGGGAGGCAGCAGUGGGGAAUAUGACAGAGCGGUCGGGAGCCAGAGGCGGCGGCGCCGCGAGCGGGAUGCCGGGCUGCGGGUGGUGAACCGCUUUGGCCUGUGACGAAGCGUGAGUGACGGUAAUGGAUAAGGAAGCACCGGCUAACUACGUG
Molecule: ribosomal RNA, 468 nt
Filed under: uncultured bacterium
Lineage: Bacteria
Description: partial 16S ribosomal RNA
Rfam family: Bacterial small subunit ribosomal RNA
Source: RNAcentral